AAUACACAAGGUGAUGAGUAUGUCUUUGAGAGUGUGCUUCUCUGUCUGAAACUGCCCCUCGGGGGGGAAAGAGAGAGGAUCCCUUUCCUUUACUAUACGUCUUGUCGAGACAGCGGCAGAAGACGAAAGAGACGGAGAAGCGGGAGAGUGAAAGAGCGAGAACCCAUGGAGUGCAGGGGUUUAUUGUAAACAGGAUAUGGAGCUGCCUUUUCAGAGGGGGACGUCACUCAAGGGGCGACCAAUGAUCCCUGUAAAUCGCCUUUACUCAAUUCACCUGACGCAACAAAUCAAAGAUGCACACUUCGGGUUCCACCAUCUAGACCUGAUCAUCUGUUGAAGAAAUUGACCAACAACACCCGAUGUCAAGGGAAGGCCAAAAAGAUCAUCAAGGACAUCAACCACCCAAGCCACUGCCUGUUCACACCACUACCAUCCAUAAUGCGAGGAAAUGUCAAACCAAGCAUCUGUUGGUAUGGCAACAGUACCGCCUUCGACCGCAUUGCACUACAGAGGGUUGUGCGGACAGCCCAGUACAUCACUUGGGCAGAGCACCCUGCAAUCCAGGACCUCUAUAUCAGGUGGUGUGAAAAGAAGGCCCGGAAAAUCGUCAAAGACCCCAACCACCCAAGCCAAAGACUAUUUUCUCUGCUGCCGGUACAGGUGAAUCAAGUCUGACACCAACAGGCUCUUGAACGUUUUCUACCUCCUAUCAAUACAACUAAUAAAUUGCUAACAAAAUAGCUACACAGACUGAGUUUACCUUGUAUUUGUAUUGACCUUUUAUCUCUGCACACUCACAGGGCCCUAUACACUCGCACACACUGUCACUCCAACACACACACAAACACUCACGCCAUAAUUUGCUCACUCACACAUAACAUGCACAUACAUUUAUACAGACUCUACACACCCGCACACCCACUCACAUGAAAACUGUUGCUACUCUGUUUAUCUUAUAGCCUGUUACCUAGUCCCCUUACCCCUAUACAUAUCUACCUCUAACCCUCCACUAUCCCUGCACA
Molecule: long non-coding RNA, 1022 nt
Organism: Salmo salar (Atlantic salmon)
Lineage: Eukaryota; Metazoa; Chordata; Actinopteri; Salmoniformes; Salmonidae
Source: RefSeq, a predicted model, not a curated record